UGAGUUACAGCUAAAGGAUUGCUCUGAGGUCGUUCAGAACUGCUGAGGACAACAUUUCCAACGGAUAGAAAGGAACAGUAUGACAGAAGAAUCCUGUUGCCACGUGUCGUUUUUACUGGCGGGACAUUAGGCGCGCGACAAGUGGUGCCGAAACCCGGAACCAACAUCGCCAGUGCCGAGGGGACCCUUCAGUGUGCUGAAGAGGAUUCAGAACUACGAAAAGGUAAAUUAAGAGGUAAGCUUUGAGAGGCAUGCCCCUUUUUGGAAGAGAGCAUGUCAGAAACGGAGCAGAGUGAGAAAUUAGGCUUCCGAGAGGCAUGCCCCUUUUUGGAUUUAACAGAGCAUGUCAGAAACGGAGCAGAGUGAGAAAUUAGGCUUCCGAGAGGCAUGCCCCUUUUUGGAUUUAAGAGAGCAUGUCAGAAACGGAGCGGAGUGAGAAAUCAGGCUUCCGAGAAGCAUGCCCCUUUUUGGAUUUAAGAGAGCAUGUCAGAAACGGAGCAGAGUGAGAAAUUAGGCUUCCGAGAAGCAUGCCCCUUUUUGGAUUUAAGAGAGCAUGUCAGAAACGGAGCGGAGUGAGAAAUUAGGAGCACGCAAAAAAGAAAAAGGUUACUAAAACAAAAGUGAAAGAGAUACAAAAGGCGGAAGAAACGCUGCCAGAGGAAAAAAUAGGUAUGCCCCGAGGACGAAGUACAAGUCAACUGGAGAGGAUACUUUGUAUCCAUUAAAAGAAUUAGAAGCCUUAGAACUGGCUGGCAGUGACUCUGAGCAA
This 769-nucleotide long non-coding RNA is filed under the name Rattus norvegicus (Norway rat). Its description in RNAcentral is "long non-coding RNA NONRATT013242". Lineage: Eukaryota; Metazoa; Chordata; Mammalia; Rodentia; Muridae. The record is from RNAcentral.